This 440-nucleotide ribosomal RNA is filed under the name uncultured bacterium. RNAcentral's name for it is "partial 16S ribosomal RNA". It matches the Rfam family "Bacterial small subunit ribosomal RNA", at positions 338 to 795 of the family's 1533-position model. The record is from RNAcentral.
CCUACGGGAGGCAGCAGUGGGGGAUAUUGCACAAUGGGGGAAACCCUGAUGCAGCGACGCCGCGUGUGGGAAGACGGUCCUCUGGAUUGUAAACCACUGUCCCCAGGGACGAAGAUGACGGUACCUGGGGAGGAAGCUCCGGCUAACUACGUGACAGCAGCCGCGGUAAUACGUAGGGAGCGAGCGUUGUCCAGAAUUACUGGGUGUAAAGGGAGCGUAGGCGGGACUGCAAGUUGGGUGUCAAAGCUACCGGGUCAACCGGUAGCCGCACUCAAAACUGCAGUUCUUGAGUGAAGUAGAGGCAGGCGGAAUUCCUAGUGUAGCUGUGAAAUGCGUAGAUAUUAGGAGGAACACCAGUGGCGAAGGCGGCCUGCUGGGCUUUUACUGACGCUGAGGCUCGAAAGUGUGGGGAGCAAACAGGAUUAGAUACCCUGGUAGUC